CCCUUCGAUGUUCUGGGCUGCACGCGCGCUACACUGUCGGAUUCAGCGAGUCAUAUCCUUAACCGAAAGGUUUGGGUAAUCUUUUGAAAGUCCGACGUGAUGGGGAUUGAUCAUUGCAAUUAUUGAUCAUGAACGAGGAAUUCCUAGUAAGCGCGAGUCAUCAGCUCGCGUUGAUUACGUCCCUGCCCUUUGUACACACCGCCCGUCGCUACUACCGAUUGAAUGGUUUAGUGAGAUCUUCGGAUUGGCGCCUACGCGGCUUCUCUGAGGCCACGCUGGAUGCCGAAAAGUUGCUCAAACUGUAUCAUUUAGAGGAAGUAAAAGUCGUAACA
Molecule: ribosomal RNA, 332 nt
Filed under: uncultured eukaryote
Lineage: Eukaryota
Description: partial 18S ribosomal RNA
Rfam family: Eukaryotic small subunit ribosomal RNA
Source: RNAcentral